RNAcentral lists this ribosomal RNA (1165 nucleotides) under Rhodococcus pyridinivorans. Its description in RNAcentral is "bacterial SSU rRNA". It matches the Rfam family "Bacterial small subunit ribosomal RNA", at positions 156 to 1334 of the family's 1533-position model. The record is from RNAcentral. Lineage: Bacteria; Bacillati; Actinomycetota; Actinomycetes; Mycobacteriales; Nocardiaceae.
CUGGGGUCUAAUACCGGAUAUGACCUCGGGAUGCAUGUUCUGGGGUGGAAAGUUUUUCGGUGCAGGAUGAGCCCGCGGCCUAUCAGCUUGUUGGUGGGGUAAUGGCCUACCAAGGCGACGACGGGUAGCCGGCCUGAGAGGGCGACCGGCCACACUGGGACUGAGACACGGCCCAGACUCCUACGGGAGGCAGCAGUGGGGAAUAUUGCACAAUGGGCGCAAGCCUGAUGCAGCGACGCCGCGUGAGGGAUGACGGCCUUCGGGUUGUAAACCUCUUUCACCCAUGACGAAGCGCAAGUGACGGUAGUGGGAGAAGAAGCACCGGCCAACUACGUGCCAGCAGCCGCGGUAAUACGUACGGGUGCGAGCGUUGUCCGGAAUUACUGGGCGUAAAGAGCUCGUAGGCGGUUUGUCGCGUCGUCUGUGAAAUCCCGCAGCUCAACUGCGGGCUUGCAGGCGAUACGGGCAGAGUCGAGUACUGCAGGGGAGACUGGAAUUCCUGGUGUAGCGGUGAAAUGCGCAGAUAUCAGGAGGAACACCGGUGGCGAAGGCGGGUCUCUGGGCAGUAACUGACGCUGAGGAGCGAAAGCGUGGGUAGCGAACAGGAUUAGAUACCCUGGUAGUCCACGCCGUAAACGGUGGGCGCUAAGGUGUGGGUUUCCUUCCACGGGAUCCGUGCCGUAGCCAACGCAUUAAGCGCCCCGCCUGGGGAGUACGGCCGCAAGGCUAAAACUCAAAGGAAUUGACGGGGGCCCGCACAAGCGGCGGAGCAUGUGGAUUAAUUCGAUGCAACGCGAAGAACCUUACCUGGGUUUGACAUGUACCGGACGACUGCAGAGAUGUGGUUUCCCUUGUGGCCGGUUGACAGGUGGUGCAUGGCUGUUGUCAGCUCGUGUCGUGAGAUGUUGGGUUAAGUCCCGCAACGAGCGCAACCCUUGUCCUGUGUUGCCAGCACGUGAUGGUGGGGACUCGCAGGAGACUGCCGGGGUCAACUCGGAGGAAGGUGGGGACGACGUCAAGUCAUCAUGCCCCUUAUGUCCAGGGCUUCACACCUGCUACAAUGGUCGGUACAGAGGGCUGCGAGACCGUGAGGUGGAGCGAAUCCCUUAAAGCCGGUCUCAGUUCGGAUCGGGGUCUGCAACUCGACCCCGUGAAGUCGGAGUCG